CACGUAGGCACCAAGCGUUGUCCGGAUUUAUUGGGCGUAAAGAGCUCGUAGGCGGUUCGGUAAGUCGGGUGUGAAAACUCUGGGCUCAACCCAGAGCCGCCACCCGAUACUGCUGUGACUUGAGUUCGGUAGGGGAGCGGGGAAUUCCUGGUGUAGCGGUGAAAUGCGUAGAGAUGUGGAGGAAUACCGAUGGCGAAGGCAGCCCCCUGGGAUAACACUGACGCUCAUGCACGAAAGCGUGGGGAGCAAACAGG
This 254-nucleotide ribosomal RNA is filed under the name uncultured bacterium. RNAcentral's name for it is "partial 16S ribosomal RNA". It matches the Rfam family "Bacterial small subunit ribosomal RNA", at positions 524 to 776 of the family's 1533-position model. The record is from RNAcentral.